This is a long non-coding RNA of Chelonia mydas (Green sea turtle), 8138 nucleotides long. RefSeq lists it as uncharacterized. The record is from RefSeq and is a predicted model, not a curated record. NCBI's taxonomy places the organism in Eukaryota, Metazoa, Chordata, Testudines, Cheloniidae. The transcript is spliced from 2 exons.
AAGAUAUUGAACAGAGUCGGACCCAGGACUGAUCCCUGCGGGACCACACUCGGUACUGAAUUUAAGCUGACUGGUCUACAAUUCCCUGGAAUGUCCUUGUUCUGAUUUUUGCAGAUAGGUACUAUUUUUGCCCUUUUCCAGUCCUCUGGGAUCUCUCUUGUCCUCCCUGAGUUCAUGGAGUUCAGGGUGUGGAUUUAUUCAGCCAGUUCUUUAAGUAUUCUAGGUUGGAUGUAUUUCCUCGGGCCCUGCCCACUUGAAGACAUGAACUUAUCUAAGCUUAACUUCUUCUUUCCCUGUUUUAGCCUUAGAUUCUACCCCAUUUAUACUGAUGUUCAUUAUGUUAAUCAUCUGUUCACGGCUAACCCAACUCCCCUGAACACUUUUUCCGUUACACUUGCUUCCCUUGAGAUGUGCCUUCUUGAAGUCCAUUGUCUUUAUUCUGCUGUGUUUUCCUUCCUACCAUUCCUUAGAAUUGUGAACUCUACCAUUUCAUGAUCGCUUUCUCCCAAACUGCCUUCCACCUUCAAAUUCUCAACCAGUUCCUCCCUGUUUGUCAGAAUUAGAUCUAGAACAGCCUCCCCUCUAGGCACUCUCUCCACCUUCUGUAAUAAAAAGUUACCUCCAAUGCAUUCCAAGAACUUGUUGGAUAAUCUGUGCCUUGCUGUAUUAUUUUCCCAACAAAUGCCUGUGCAAUUGAAGUCCCCCAUCACCAUCAAAUCCUGUGCUUUGGAUGAUUUUGUUAGUUGUUUAAAAAAAGGCUCAUACAGUACUUCUUCUGGUUAGGUGGUCUAUUGUUUUUUACCCUUUUAUCCUUACCGAGAGUCUUUGAACAGGUCUGCCUCCACUUCUAUCUUGAGCUCCAUGCCAGUGUAUUCAAUUUUUAUAUACAAGGCAACACCACCUCUCUUUUUUCCCUGCCUGUUGUUCCUGAACAAGCUGUACUCUUCUGUACCAAUAUUCCAGUCAUGUAAAUUAUCCUAAUCUCUGAAUCAAAUUAAGACAUAAUUGUGAUUAUUCACUAGUAUUUCCAAAUCUUCCUGUUUAUUCCCCAGACUUCUUGCAUUCGUGUACAGUCAUCUAAGAUGUUUGUUAGAUUUCCCCUCUGUAUGCCCUCUCAUCUCUCCUCUGUCCCUGCUAUGCUUGCCAACCCAUCACUCCAAUCUCCAUGUUGUGGACUUUUACCUGUGGUCUUUUGUCUCCUUCCCAUGUUGAAACUAGUUUAAAGCCCACCUCACUAAAUUAUCCAGUCUGUAUCUGAAAGUACUGUUCCCCUUCCUGGAUAGGAGGACCCUAUCUCUGCUCAGCAGUCCUCCUUGGAACAGCGUGCUUGAAAAAGCCCAGGGAACCAAUUUUACAAUUAGGCUACAACGAUGGGGCAAAUUGGACAGCAUAUGACCUUAAAUGUAUAAGGGCUUGAGAAUCUAUCAAGCUGUCCUGCAGUGGCUCAAGGGUGGGUACCAGCCUCAGGGCCGACUGUUAGGAAACGGAGCACAAACCUCCAAUUGGUUGAGUUCUAUACUUGGAUCGCACCAACCAAUUAUCAAGUGUGAACUCCUCAAGCACUAUAACAGCCCUAAUAUGGAGUCUCAGACAGUCCCCUUAGAUAUUCCGGUCUGUCCCACCACCCAGGUGCACUGCCUUUGUGAUAAGUGAUCCCUUACACCAAAGAUCACUGCAAUAUUCAGCUUACUCCCAGUCCCUAAGGACCAGUCACUCACCCCAGCUUAAUUGCACUUCAGAUCCCACACAAAAGACCACACUGGUAGCCAGUCCUAUAAUAAACUAUCCACAGCUUCCCUGAGUUAGAGGUUUUAUCUCUUCCCCCUUUUGCUUCAAAUAGGAAACUCCGCUGUUGGGAGGAGUUCGCUUGCAUGUCUCUUCUUCGUGGGGGUUGAGGGAUGAGCAAUCAGCAAAGUCUUGUGUCCUCUUUGAUGUUCCACAAUAGUUUGGCUGGUGUUGAUAGGCCUUCCUUUUGGGGAAAGACAUACCUUCUGUGAAAGAUCAGCACUUUACACUAAUCUCUCUCUAUCUGGUGCUUUAUACAGUCACAGAGGCUUAUGCUAUAAAUGCUUAAAUAUUACUGUACACGAUGGGAUAUAGCUGGUAUAAGUGAGAUAAAUGCAGGCAGCAACUACACACCUUCAAUAAAGUCUAAAUGCUAGCACAUUUUUAUAACGUGAAUACCUCUUUUACCCCUAGGAAUACACAGGUGAACCAGACUGAUUCCAGCUCUGUGUUUGUCAGUCUUCAAGUGAGGCAUGGGGACCUUGGUAUAAGCAGGCACUUGGUUUGCUGGCAGCGCACAAUAUUGGCAUAAACAAUGUGAGUUGAGGCUCUGCCUAGUUCCCUCAGUCCCUGUGGCCAAUCAUGUAGCUUUAUCAUGGUUUCAUCCGUAUCGGGAAGAGGGCUUCAGAACUGAAUGACAUGCUGGGGUUUAGUUUGAUGCGGAUAGGUGGCCUGACGGCUCCUGGACUGUUAAGCUUUCAUGUCUGGAUGCCACAUCUCCAGAAAGAUAUUAGGGGAGAAAUAAAGCGUGCCCAGAAUCUAGGGGGCCGGAGGGUCUGUGGAAGAAAGAUUGAGUUUGAUAGGUAGAUUAUCCCAUGUAUCCUGUGCAAACUAGGCCUAAAUUCUGCUGCCCUGAGUGGAAUGUCCUGCUAUAGCACAUGUGAAGCAGGAUCCAGGGGUGAUCCUGGCAAUUACAGGCCCUUAAGUCUAACUUCAGUACCAGCCAAAUUGGUUGAAACUAUAGUAAAUAACAGAAUUAUCAAACAUAGCUGAACACGAUUUGUUGGGGAAAAGUCAACGUGGCUUUUGUAAAAGGAAAUCAUGCCUUGCUGAUAUAUUAGAAUUCUUUGAGGGGGGUUAACAAACAUGUGGGCAAGGGUGAUCCAGUCUAUAUAGUGUACUUGGACUUUUUCAGAAAGCUUUUAACAAGGAUCUUAAGCAAAGUAAGCAGUCGUGAGAUAAGUGGGAAGGUCCUCUCCUGGAUCAGUAACCAGUUAAAAGACAGGAAACAAAGGGUAGGAAUAUAUGGUCAAUUUUCGCAGUGGAGAGAGAGAAAUAGUGGUGUCCCCCAAGGAUUUGUAUGGGGACCAGUGUUCAACAUAUUCAUAAAUGAUCUGGAAAAAAGGGGCAAACAGUGAAGUGGUAAAAUUUGCAGAUGAUACAAAGUUACUCGAGGUAGUUAAGUCCAAUGCAGACUGCAAAGAGUUACAAAGGGAUCUCACAAACCAGGGUGACUGGGCAACAAAAUGGUGGAUGAAAUUCAAUGUUGAUCAGUUCAAAGUAAUGCACAUUGGAAAACAUAAUCGCAACUAUACAUAUAAAAUGAUGAGAUCUGAAUUAGCUGUUACUACUCAAGAAAGAGAUCUCGGAGUUGUCAUGGAUAGUUCUCUGCUCAAUGUGCAGCAGCAGUCAAAAAAGCAAACACAAUGUUAGGAACCAUUAGGAAAGGGAUAAACAAUAAGACAGAAAAUAUAAUGCGACUAUAGAAAUCCAUGGUACGCUCACACCUUGAAUACUGUGUGCAAUUCUGGCCUCCCCCUCAAAAAAGAUAAAUACGAUUUUGAAAAAAUACAGAGAAGGGCAACAAAAAUGAUUAAGGAUAUGGGACAGCUUCCAUAUGAGGGGUGAUUAGAAAGACUGGGACUUUUCAGCUUGGAAAAGAGAUGACGAAGGGGGGAUAUGACAGAGAUUUAUAAAAUCAUGGCUGGUGUGGAGGAAGUGAAUAGGGGAGUGUUGUUUACCCCUUCACAUAACACAAGAACUAGGAGUCACCCAAUGAAAUUAAUAGGCAGGUUUAAAACAAAAGGAAGUAUUUCUUCACCCAGCGCCCAGUCAGUCUGUGGAACUCGUUGUCGGGAUGUUGUGAAGGCCAAAAGUAUAGGUUCAAAAAAGAAUUAGUUCAUGUAUGAUAGGUCCAUCAGUGGCUAUUACCCAAGAUAGUCAGGGACACAACCCUUGAGUGUCCCUAGUCGCUGGCUGCCAGAAUCUGGGAAUGGGCAAUGGGAUGGAUCAUGCAAUGGUUGCCUGUUCUGUUCCUUCCUUCUGAAGUACCUGGCAUUAGCCACUGUCGGAGGCAGGAUACUGGGCUAGAUGGACCUUUGCUCUGACCCAUUCUAGCCAUUGUUAUGUAGCAAGGUAUAUUUUAAAUAGGCUUCAUAUAUUAAUGAUCAGACACAGUUUACACUUGCUAUUUAGUUCCUCCUGCUGGUGAGGUUGUCAAAUCCGUCUAGCCAAAUUUUCUCGUCCUAGCACUGAUAACGGAGUUUGAGAAAUAAGGUGUUAAACUACAUCUAAAAUAAUCCGCAUAGAUACAAUAACUGCUUUAGACAGCUAACUUUCUGAUCAAUCUUGUAGAUUGCUACUUCAUUUAUUUAUAGGUCCUUGUGGUGCUGACUCUGCAUCUCUCCAUGCAUAAGCUACUGGGCUAACUUGACAGCAUAUUGGAAUUUAGUUCUGCCAGAAUUUCUCAAACCAAACCUUUUCUUGGUGUGGUCAGUGUACGAUUCCACAGUGGGGUUCAGUGAGCUGAAAGCACUUGACCAGUCUAACUUCUGCUCCCCAAAUUUAGGAUUGUUUUGCCUCAUGAUCCGAACAGGGUUGUUUACCACCUGACCCUAUUGCAGUUUUACUAACACUUCUUCAUGUCUUUCUGAUUUCUGUACACACGUACGCCACUGAGCUCUGCAGGCUUUUGCACUUAACACUGUGGUUAGAUAGUUGGCUGCGUGUGUGUGUUCUUCCUGUGCGCUCUCCCAGCUCUGCGCAGACAGCCGGCACAGCAGACCUCAAGCGAACCACCCAGUGACCACACGAUCCAUUAAGAUGCGAAGGCACGCAGCCAGGUUUAUUGUUGACAAAGCACGGUAGUAGCACCUGGCAGACUCCACGAGGAUACUAAGACAUAUGUCUGUGACAAUGGACACUGUCAGUGGUGGGACUUUCCACUGCCCCCUUGGGUGGCCAAAGACACUCCCUCUGAAAUACAUCUUUAUACCCUGAUAUAAACAAGUUACGUUCUGUCAUCCUGACCUUAUCUUGUAUGAAGGAUCACUGUGUUUCUGUUACCUUGGGGAAUGGUUUUGUACCACCCUUGAUAUCGGGAUGUGUUUGCAUGAGUACUCUGUGCUUAGCACUUUUUAAGAAUGUGUAUUUCUGCAAUAUCAGGCCUGUUCUUGCCAGAUUCUGUGGGCAGGUCCUGCCUCAUACCAGGCCUCUGAUACAAGAGCUUAUGUCUCAGGUUCUCUUCCUACUACAAACACUAGGUAGGUGUCGCAGCACCACCACAUCUGUGGACCCUUAGGAAGAACCAGGAAGUUAUAGAGAGGAAUUACAGGGUUGAGAAACCCGGCUGAGAAUAGGUUUGAACUGAGUUUGUCAGUGAUGAUGCCUCACAACCCCCCGUGCAUACGCAUUCACACACCCGAAAAGUUCUGUAUCCUUCCUAUUCUACAGAUGGCUAAUAUGAGGAAGAGAGGUUAACAGCCUGUUUUCAAAGGUGCUGAUCACUCACAGCUACUAAUUGACUUCAACUGGAGUUGUGGGUGGUUAGCACCUUUGAAAAACAGGCCUCUCCAGGAUCACAUAAUGAACAGAUUAGCAAUUUCCAGACCUGCUCAGAGCCAUGGUCUGUCUGGAGGGAUAGCUCAGUGGUUGGAGCAUUGGCCUGCUAAACCCAGGGUUGUGAGUUCAAUCCUUGAGGGGGCCAUUUAGGGAUCUGGGGCAAAAAAAAAAAAAAAAAAAAUUGGGGAUUGGUCCUGCUUUGAGCAGGGGGUUGGACUAGAUGACCUCCUGAGGUCCCUUCCAACCCUGAUAUUCUAUGAUUCUAACUGUCGCCUGUCACCAGCACUAGCCAGUGGCAGCUCCUUCAGAGAAAGGAGAAAGAAAACCUGCAGCAGGUGGUUCUGAAAUAACUAGCCCGUAGAAGUUUCCUCCUGACCCCCAUUAGCUAAUAAUGGCUUAUACCCUAAUGCUUGACAUUUCGUAUCCCUUCCACAACUCCAAGGGCUUGUGUAAAAAGGAAGGUAGUUUCUGUUAGUUUGUUUAUUAAACAGAUAUAAUUAAACUGGUACAAAAGAUGGUUUCAGUGGCUUACCCCAGUUCUUAAUGGAAUGAAGUAAGCCACUCUUAAAUCAAAAUAAGUGUCCCCGCAGCUUUUCACGCCUAAAGUUAAAACACUGCAACUUUCUCAUGUGGCCAACCCCUAUUUAUUCCCCAUUUCUUACUCUAAACACUAGACCAAUGGUUCUCAACCUGUGGUCCCGGGAUCCCUGGGGGUCUGCAGACUAUGUCUAAGGGGUCUGCGAAAGGUUGUCAUUCCCAUAGACCAGUGGUUUUCAGCCUGUGGACCUCUGGGGAUCCGCAGACUGUCUAAGAUUUCCAAAGAAAUCCCCACCUCCAUUUGAAAUUUUUUAGGUUGAGAAUCACUGCAUUAGACCUCAACAGGCCACUGAAUAUUAGCUGCAGAGACAGUACCAGGUGUGCACCUUACAGGGCCUGGGGGUGCCAUUUAUCCAGUGUUCAGAGUCAUUGAAAUACACUUAGUGACUGGCUUAGUUUAAGCGUGAGAGUCCUGUUGGGAGAAGUAGUUGAGCUUCCUGUAUGAAACUGGCCAAGAUCUCUUGUGAUGCAUCUUUGGUUCUCCUUUUGUGUGCUCUCAGCCUGACAGGCCUCAGCCCAGUGCACGCACCCACACCAACUAUAUCUAUGUUAUUUCUGAAGUAACCAAGUUCUGUGCCUCCCCAAUCCCAGGAACAAUAAAUAUCCAAAGCCAAAAAGAAAUUUCUUCAGGCAGCGGCUCCCAGCUUUGAAUUAUUAGUGCUGUCUGCUAAAAAAAUUAAUAGUUUCUUUCCUGGGGAAUAAUUCCUUAUGUUCCAGGUCUUUCUUUCUGAGCAGCGGAGGAGUUGGAGUUUAUGGGGUCCAGCAGUCAAGAAUAAAAAGAAAUAAAAAAUAUGGUCUUAGGUCAAAGCCUGGUUUAGUUUGUGGUCAAAAGAAUGUAUCUGGUGGAGGUUUAUUAUUAGAGUCAAAGAUUGCAGAGCGAGGCAAUGGUUUUGGGGAAUGGCCUUUGUAUAAAUUUAGAGGUGAAUUGAUAUGGAAAUGUAAUACAACUUUAUUUUGCAUAGGGUCUCAAAAUGCUUUACAGAGAGAAAUGACACACUGCAGAAAAAAAGAGACCGAAGCAAGAAAGGUAGCAAGGCUCUCGCAGGUGGCACAAGCUGCAGAGAAGAAGAUUCCCGCUCAGAUGCUGGUAAAUCUGCAGUGGUGCUAGAUGAGUGGGGAGGGGAGUUGAGUGAGACAGUCCAUGAGGCAGGGUUUAAAAAAACCAAGGGGCAGUUCUGAUUGGCUCAGCACCACAGGUGUGAUCAAACGGUGCAACUCAGUGACUCAGGAUGUCACUGAGACCCAAAACUUAGCAAGAUUUUAAAAGGGAUUGGAUAUUUAUACAGGUAAUAAGACUAUCCAGAGUUAAUGUUAAACUUUGGAAGGGGAUAUUAAAUCCCAUGCUGCAGGGCUCAAGCCAAAUUCUUAACCAUCCAAUCCCUAGUAGUUUCCUGCACUUUUGUAGCAUCUGGUACUGGCCACUGACAGAGACAGGCUACUGGGCUAACUAGUCCCCUGGUCUGAUCCUGUCGAGCUGUUCCUAUGUUCCUCAAGGCUCUAUGAUACAGAGAAGGAAAUGUCAGUUGAUCAAUGUUGUAAAUAUAUUAGGGGUUGGCAGGACUGUGGUUUUGCAUCUCAUCUGUAUGAUAGCACCACACGGCAGUGUGCUUGUGGCUACACAGAGCUCCCUAAUGCCAUGCAGGUUGGGUUGAGUGUUAAAAUCCCACAGAGCUUUUGCAAGCGUUAGCAGCAUUAAUGUUGCUCUCCUGGUCAAAUUCCAACUUUAGUUGUACUCUGUGUCUCUGCCAUUUCAUUUGGGUAUGAGAUUCUUCUGCAUUUUCUUGUUCUACACUCCAAUUUUGCAAUAUGCAGUUAAACAGCUGCCACAUACCAGUCCAGAGGUGGGUGAAUUUCAGUGAUGGGCAAAUAGUUCUUAAUCUGUAACCUUUAUAUCAAUUUGUAAGGUACUUUGGUAGCCCUAAUGGUUGAAUGGUGCUUUAAAGAAAUCCUGCUAUUAAAUAAUUUAAACAUCUGAA